This 433-nucleotide ribosomal RNA is filed under the name uncultured bacterium. RNAcentral describes it as "partial 16S ribosomal RNA". It matches the Rfam family "Bacterial small subunit ribosomal RNA", at positions 29 to 507 of the family's 1533-position model. The record is from RNAcentral.
AACGAACGCUGGCGGCAUGCCUAACACAUGCAAGUCGAACGAGACCUUCGGGUCUAGUGGCGCACGGGUGCGUAACGCGUGGGAACCUGCCCUUAGGUUCGGAAUAACUCCCCGAAAGGGGUGCUAAUACCGGAUAAUGUCUUCGGACCAAAGAUUUAUCGCCUUUGGAUGGGCCCGCGUUGGAUUAGCUAGUUGGUAGGGUAAAAGCCUGCCAAGGCGACGAUCCAUAGCUGGUCUGAGAGGAUGAUCAGCCACACUGGGACUGAGACACGGCCCAGACUCAUACGGGAGGCAGAAGUGGGGAAUAUUGGACAAGGGGCGAAAGCCUGAUACAGAAAUGCCGCGUGAGUGAUGAAGGCCUUAGGGUUGUAAAGCUCUUUUAACCGGGAUGAUAAUGACAGUACCGGGAGAAUAAGCUCCGGCUAACUCCGUG